Molecule: long non-coding RNA, 470 nt
Organism: Phodopus roborovskii (desert hamster)
Lineage: Eukaryota; Metazoa; Chordata; Mammalia; Rodentia; Cricetidae
Exons: 4
Source: RefSeq, a predicted model, not a curated record
CUCGGACGCGAAGCUUAUAAGCUACCUUUCAGUUUUGAGUGAGGGUAGGCUUCCAGAAUCCUAGUGUCCAAGAUCACACCCCUUCUAGCCUUCGAGCCUGCUAGAAGAGGCCCAGUUGGUACGGUAAUACUUAUUCACCAAGCUGGUCAUCGACGAGAGUGAGGAUAUCCUAGACGGAGCAAGAAUGGGCAGAGGCUGAAGAAUCUACUAUGAAGUUUACUUUUCAAGCACAGAAAAUUCAGUCUACAUAGCCUCUUUUACAAGGCAGCAUUUUUUUUUAACCUUAAAAUAGAGAAAAAUGAAAAGUGGACAAGAAAACUUUGGAUAUAAGAUGCAUUGGCUCCUAGUGUCCAGAAAGACAUGCACGGAAAGAACGCAGAGUUAGCUAAAGAAAUACCACAGUUUAUUGAAGACUACAAAUAUUUUUGUUACAAGUUGGAACUACAUGCCUUCCAGAAAUCAAAAGCAAC